Molecule: long non-coding RNA, 487 nt
Filed under: Setaria italica (foxtail millet)
Lineage: Eukaryota; Viridiplantae; Streptophyta; Magnoliopsida; Poales; Poaceae
Description: long non-coding RNA (SITA_LNC004543)
Source: RNAcentral
CGAAAGCCAAACCGAUACUAUCGGGAGGAAGUGCCUAGGCCGGUAUUUAUGGGAAAAAGAUGCGUGGAAAUUUGGUAAGGCUACGUCCCAUCGGAAAUAAGAAAGGCAAUAAAUAGAAAGGGCGUCGCGAGGGACGGUCAAAGAAGAUAGUAAAUGUUCGUACAAAACGGUCAGUGUUUUACAGAUUACCCAGAAGGGUAUCGAUAGCCGUGAUUGCCCGACGCCGGAUCUGAUCGGCAGAGUCAAGGACCCGUUGGUCUUCAUCCGCCGAUCCGGGGACCUCUGAUGCGCUGCGGUGGAGUUUUAGGGCCUCGUGAGCAAAGCGCUGCCUCUCCCGUGUCAAAUCGGCAAUGACAGAAGGUAGCUCUUGGAGCUUUUUCUCUUCGGCACUGAUUGCCUUGGUCACUUGCUCCAUCUCCUUGGCAAGCUCCGCCCUCCGACGCUUGAGGCGGUCUAUCUCACCGAUGAUCGCCGGGCGGGAAUCUUC